UUACAUUUCGCUCAUUUGUCUAGAUGUCAUGAAACUGUUAAAAAGGAAAAUUCUUCUUUCCACAACAAAGUACGCGCCUGUUUUUGGAGUAGCGGCCUCUACGUUUUGGAAUUUUGCCGUUAAAUAUGCUACUCUCACAUACGAUUCAUUGCGCUUUGGAGAGAUCGAAGAUUUCCCAGAGACCUCUGAUCCUGUCUGGAUUUUGGGAAAGCAGUUCAGCGCUCUAACAGAGAAGGAUGAUAUUCUGGCAGAUGUCACCUCACGUUUAUGGUUCACGUACAGAAAAAACUUCCAGCCAAUUGGUGGCACUGGGCCCACUUCAGACACCGGCUGGGGCUGCAUGCUUCGAUGCGGACAGAUGAUUCUUGGGGAGGCUUUGAUCUGCAGGCACUUAGGCAGAGACUGGAAAUGGAGUCCAGGUCAGCGGCAAAGACCAGAAUAUGUCAGCAUCCUCAAUGCUUUCAUUGACAAGAAGGACAGCUAUUAUUCUAUUCAUCAAAUAGCUCAGAUGGGUGUAGGUGAGGGCAAGUCUAUUGGCCAGUGGUAUGGUCCAAAUACAGUGGCACAGGUACUCAAGAAACUUGCUGUUUUUGACUCCUGGAGCCGAUUGGCAGUUCAUGUAGCUAUGGACAAUACUGUGGUCAUCGAGGAAAUCAAGAGGUUGUGUAUGCCAUGGCUGGAUUUCGACAGGGGUGCAUGUGCCGUUUCUGAAGAGCCUCGAGAGAUGAAUGGAGAUCUGGAAGGAGCUUGUGCUUUGGCCGAGGAGGAGACGGCUCUGUGGAAACCCCUUGUUCUGCUGAUUCCUCUAAGACUGGGCCUCAGUGACAUCAAUGAAGCCUAUAUUGAACCACUCAAGCAAUGCUUCAUGAUGCCUCAGUCUUUAGGAGUAAUUGGUGGGAAGCCAAACAGCGCUCACUACUUCAUUGGCUUUGUAGGUGACGAGCUCAUUUAUCUAGACCCUCACACCACUCAGCCAGCAGUGGACCCCAGUGAAGACGGCCAUUUCCCAGACGACUCAUACCACUGCCAGCACCCUCCAUGCCGGAUGCACAUCUGUGAGCUCGACCCUUCUAUUGCUGCUGUUUUUCCAUGACAGUGUGAACCCUGUUAAAUGCAAAUGAGCUGUUCUCCCCACCCACCAUCUCCACUUGUGUGUCUGCUUUUCGUGUGUUAUGUCAGAUGAUCAGCAAUCAGUGAUAGAGACAGACACGGAUGAAACAGAAAUACAGCUAAUUAGUCAAAAAUACCAAGUAAGAAACAUCUUAUAAUUUUAUAGUUGUACUGACACUAGCGAUUUUACUGUUUUUUUUUAUGUAUUCAAGGUUCCUGCGGGUCCUUAAGAAGUCUUAAAAUGUCUAAAUUAAAAUCCAGGAAAUUAAGGUCUUUAACUGUCUUUAAUUUACAGAAUAUUGGCUGUAGGUAGUUCAUUUUUAGCCGUUGUGCUUAAUGACGAUAGGUAAGCACAGUGGUCCACUGUAAAACAUCUAACAGUUUAUCAAUUUAGUAUGUGGGAAACAGGAGAGAAAUGACAAUCUUCGUGAUUUAUUAGAUUAUUAAGGUAGGUCGGCUACAGGCGCUUGCGUCGGUCUGCACCUGCGUGCUGUCAUUACGCGGUUGUGGAGGUGAGGUUCAAAAUGAAAAGAUGGGAUAGUGUAAAUUUAACGACGUGGCAAUGUGUAAAUUCUGCAAAAAGACCUUUUCGUUAGGGACCAUGGGGCUCAAAGCCGUUGAGUCGCAAAUGAAAGGAGGAAAGCACCAGCGGUACGUUGCAGCAGCUAGUCAUAGGGGGACUUGGUUAAUCUCUGCAUUGUUUGCAGCUCGACUAACAAUGAUAUUAGUUCGGACUACAGCUAAAGAUCUUUGCUCGGACUUAAUUCCUAUCAUUUUAGAUGGGGCCGGGCUUGGGCAGUAUUUAGAUUGCUGAGAUGUUAAGAUGUUAAAGAAGACUUUUUUUUUUUUUUGUUCCAACUUCCAAGUGGCCUACAGACCUUUUUCUUAGAACGCAAAAUUACCCAUUAUGUUUUAUUUCACCGCCAGACAUCCAAAAGGCAGGUACUGUGGGUUAUCCAAACUGUGACGAGGCACAAUUAAUUUAAAAAUAACGUGACAUCUUUGCUUCCAUGUUCCCCGAUUUGCAGCUUGCAAAGUCAUUCACCUGUGGUGAAAAUAAAACUGCAUAUGUCGCCAAAUAUGGCAUCGCUUCAUUCAUCAAAGUAAGAAGUCAUAUGUCAAAGGUUGUUGUGAGGACGUACAUUAUAGUUUAUUUUCAGCAUCCCUAUAUGGUUCCUUUAUACAAGGCAUUGUGAUGUUUAGUGUAAUCCAACUUCUGUUACAUUGUGAUGUAGAACAGAGCCAAAGGGAAAAAAAAGAAAGAAAAAGGUCUCAAAGAUAAGUAUUUUUUAUUUUUAUUUUUCUUACCGAGUUUACACAACAUUGCACAUAAUUGAUACCAAAUGGAAAACUUUCAAGUUUUGAUUUCAUUGUAGGAAGCCAAAAAUUGAAUAGCCUAUUCCAAAGAAAUUAUAAAAAAUUUUGGGUCUAAAAUUAUACUUGUUGAGGUCUUAAAAAGCAUUAAUUUUUACUUUUAGAUAGUGCAAGAACCCUGUUAUUAAAAACAUUCACUAAUUUAACCUGGUAAAUCUCAUUUAUCAGCUGCAGCUGAUCAUAGAGAGUUGCAACAGAUCUUUACCCCCAGUUUCUUUGCAAAUCCUGUUCUUUGGACAUGUUAAUACACGCCUGUCAAUCAAUUUAGUGGAUGGGGAAAACCACACUUCUACAUCACAUUCGGCCUCAAAAUCACUGAGAUUUGGAUCCUAUUGUAACUUUAGGAAUUUUACGGAGGGACUUGUUUUUAUAUCAAAAUCAGCUUUUAGUUGAAAACACUCGUUUAAACGCCUCCUCAGUUGUCGUUAGGUGUCAAACCUUUUGAAAGUAACUGGUUUGAAUUACGGUAUCAUAUGUGCCACUUUUUGUCCAUCAGGGCUUCUUCUGCCAAACUGAGGAUGAUUUUGAUGACUGGUGUGCACAGAUUCGUAAGGUUUCAAACUGCAGAGGUCUUCCCAUGUUUGAAUUAGUAGACAGUCAACCAUCUCAUCUAAUCACCGCUGAUGUACUUAAUCUCACUC
This is a non-coding RNA of Danio rerio (zebrafish), 3125 nucleotides long. Lineage: Eukaryota; Metazoa; Chordata; Actinopteri; Cypriniformes; Danionidae. The record is from RefSeq and is a predicted model, not a curated record.